RNAcentral lists this ribosomal RNA (279 nucleotides) under uncultured bacterium. Its description in RNAcentral is "partial 16S ribosomal RNA". It matches the Rfam family "Bacterial small subunit ribosomal RNA", at positions 506 to 784 of the family's 1533-position model. The record is from RNAcentral.
UGCCAGCCGCCGCGGUAAUACGUAGGGAGCGAGCGUUAUCCGGAAUUAUUGGGCGUAAAGCGUACGUAGGCGGUUUGUUAAGUCAAAUCUGAAAGCCCCCAGCUUAACUGGGGAGGGUGAUUUGAAACUGGCAGACUUGAGUAUGGCAGAGGUAAGUGGAAUUUCAUGUGUAGCGGUGGAAUGCGUAGAUAUAUGAAGGAACACCAGUGGCGAAGGCGGCUUACUGGACCAGAACUGACGCUGAUGUACGAAAGCGUGGGGAGCAAACAGGAUUAGAUA